UAAUAGCUAAAUGUGCUUUAAACUACAGCAGCUUAAACUAUAAAUGUAAAAGAAACAGAAAGCAUUAGCAGCAUAAUUUCAGAACAAUAUGCUGCAGUUAAUAAAUAAAACAAACAAUACUACAUCAGUGUAAUGUCACCAUUAAGUGUCAGGUUAUACAGACCAACUGACCAACAAUAAAAUCAUUUUAGCUAUUGUCAUUGUCAAAAUGUCCCCCCUUUUUGCCUAUUUGACACGAGAACAUCCUUUACUUCUUACAUGGCCAGGUGAUUUCUCAGAGUUAAAACCUUGCCUUUAAACUACUUCUUCCCCAAGCUCAACAGGACCUGCUGAAUGAAAUGGAAAGUGUUGUUCAAGACCUGAAAGAAAUGAGCCACCUUCAAAUGGUAGUGUAAGGCUUACAGGUCUUAUAGUAAAUUACAGUACAAAUCUGUUUUUAAGCCAAACAUAUUUCGAUACCGAUUUGUGAAUAUAAAGAGAAAUUACCUGAUUAGACAGUUUUCAAAUCGGGAUGCACGUUUACAAAACAUAGUAUGUACUGUAUUUGAAAAUGUUUUUAGACACUUUCAGUUAUAAACUGAACCAACAAUGUCUUAUCUACUGUAAUUUAACUCAUCCUUGACUGCAUUAUUGCCUAUUUUAAUGUACGAUGUGUAGUAAGAGAACAUCAUUUAUAAUCCAGUGAUAUAACUUACAAAGCAGGCCUUGAAGUCAGCUGGGUUAUCAUCAAAACGUACUGGAAGUCUUCUCAGCACAAGGCAUCUGAUGUCAGUAAUGUCCGAUGUCUAGAUUGCAUUGACAGCAUAGAUAAGAUUGUAACAUUAGACAUUAUAACAUUGACAGUCCACACUCAGAUCUGUACACUGAUAUGGGUAGUAUCACUUCAAUUUACAAACCUUUGUCGCAAAAGACCAUCCAAGAUUUGGCCCUUGAGGCCUUUCUUUGACCUGAAGAUUUCAACAAGUUGAGUGCAAUGAGACACAGAAUUCCUGUUUCAGGUUUCACUCUAUUGAAUUCCUGGUAGACCUAAAACAUAUGCACAAAUACAUCAUGUUAUAAAGGUACUGUCACGAUUUGGGACCUCCGGGCCUCUAGAGGUCGCCAACUAAAGACUCUUGGCUAGUCUUGGGUGUACAUGUGCUUAUGUUGACUUCCUGUCUCUGUUUUCCCUUUGUUUUCACCUGCUAGUUAAUUGGCUAAUUAACUAGGCUAAUGGAUGGAUCGAAGACAAUAAAUAUGUUAAUGUUUGAAGGAAGGGGAAUAAUGCAAUGCACUUCAAUGAGAAUGCUGACCGUAUACAAAUGACAACAUGUAAAGGGAAACUUGUGUAGAAGCUUCUCUUUCCAAAAGCCAAAAAGGGACAACACCAUCAAACCAGUAAAGACAGAGCCAAACAAGUUACAGCCAAACAAGCUAUGUCUUCAACCUGAUGGCCCUUGUCUUCAGAUAAAGUUGCUCUUGACCCCCUAGCUGAUGUGGAUGUGUUUCAGGACCUGUCUGCUUAACACGACAGACCUCCCAUGGAGAAAGUUGCUGAGCAUGCGUCUGUGUCGCGUUCCAGUCGAUGGGGGGUCUGAACCUGACAUACUGCCCUGUAGCAUCAGAAAACUCCCUUCUUAUGCACAGCACCACAGGUGGAGGGAUGACAACAUGAACACUUCCAAGGAACCCCCAGCACCAGCUAACAAACCACUUGAAGGCCAAGUGUCUGCAUCAUCUGCAUGGAGAAGAGAGGAGGAAAGCACAUAUUGAUUGUUUUAGUAUUUAUUUGGUUUAGAGUUUAUAAUUGCG
Molecule: long non-coding RNA, 1791 nt
Organism: Clupea harengus (Atlantic herring)
Lineage: Eukaryota; Metazoa; Chordata; Actinopteri; Clupeiformes; Clupeidae
Source: Ensembl